Molecule: ribosomal RNA, 506 nt
Filed under: uncultured bacterium
Lineage: Bacteria
Description: partial 16S ribosomal RNA
Rfam family: Bacterial small subunit ribosomal RNA
Source: RNAcentral
GACGAACGCUGGCGGCGUGCCUAAUACAUGCAAGUCGAACGCAUUUUCUUUCACCGUAGCUUGCUACACCGAAAGAAAAUGAGUGGCGAACGGGUGAGUAACACGUGGGUAACCUGCCCAUCAGCGGGGGAUAACACUUGGAAACAGGUGCUAAUACCGCAUAAUUCCAUUUACCGCAUGGUAGAUGGAUGAAAGGCGCUUUUGCGUCACUGAUGGAUGGACCCGCGGUGCAUUAGCUAGUUGGUGGGGUAACGGCCUACCAAGGCUGCGAUGCAUAGCCGACCUGAGAGGGUGAUCGGCCACACUGGGACUGAGACACGGCCCAGACUCCUACGGGAGGCAGCAGUAGGGAAUCUUCGGCAAUGGACACAAGUCUGACCGAGCAACGCCGCGUGAGUGAAGAAGGUUUUCGGAUCGUAAAACUCUGUUGUUAGAGAAGAACAAGGAUGAGAGUGGAAAGUUCAUCCCUGGACGGUAUCUAACCAGAAAGCCACGGCUAACUACGG